RNAcentral lists this ribosomal RNA (251 nucleotides) under uncultured bacterium. RNAcentral's name for it is "partial 16S ribosomal RNA". It matches the Rfam family "Bacterial small subunit ribosomal RNA", at positions 524 to 776 of the family's 1533-position model. The record is from RNAcentral.
UACGUAGGAGGCGAGCGUUGUCCGGAAUUACUGGGCGUAAAGCGUGCGUAGGUGGUUUGUUAAGUCUGUUGUGAAAGCCCCGGGCUCAACCUGGGAAUGGCAAUGGAUACUGGCAAGCUAGAGUGCGGUAGAGGGUAGUGGAAUUCCCGGUGUAGCGGUGAAAUGCGUAGAGAUCGGGAGGAACACCAGUGGCGAAGGCGGCUACCUGGACCAGCACUGACACUGAGGCACGAAGCGUGGGAGCAAACAGG